RNAcentral lists this long non-coding RNA (281 nucleotides) under Bos taurus (domestic cattle). Its description in RNAcentral is "long non-coding RNA NONBTAT015976". Lineage: Eukaryota; Metazoa; Chordata; Mammalia; Artiodactyla; Bovidae. The record is from RNAcentral.
UUUUUGUCAAAAGUGGUAACAUCUUAAUACAAAUAAAAACCUUUUUGUGGUUGUAAGAUUUAGCUUAUAAAUCAUUCAAAUUGAAGUGAAAGAUUACCAGGUCAUUGUUAAUGACUUAGUCUAUUAAGAAUAUAUGUAUUUUUGUAAAGGGAAAGCACUUGUAGAUAUUUAAUCAGUACUAUAUGUCUGUUUUGCAGAAAUAAAAUGCUGCUUAGAGAUUCUCCCAAGUAUAUUUGACCAUGUUAAAAAUAGUAUCUUUGUUAUUAAAAACUUGAUUGCAU